This 1361-nucleotide ribosomal RNA is filed under the name Staphylococcus haemolyticus. RNAcentral's name for it is "bacterial SSU rRNA". It matches the Rfam family "Bacterial small subunit ribosomal RNA", at positions 77 to 1424 of the family's 1533-position model. The record is from RNAcentral. Lineage: Bacteria; Bacillati; Bacillota; Bacilli; Caryophanales; Staphylococcaceae.
AGCUUGCUCCUUUGACGUUAGCGGCGGACGGGUGAGUAACACGUGGGUAACCUACCUAUAAGACUGGGAUAACUUCGGGAAACCGGAGCUAAUACCGAUAAUAUUUCGAACCGCAUGGUUCGAUAGUGAAAGAUGGUUUUGCUAUCACUUAUAGAUGGACCCGCGCCGUAUUAGCUAGUUGGUAAGGUAACGGCUUACCAAGGCGACGAUACGUAGCCGACCUGAGAGGGUGAUCGGCCACACUGGAACUGAGACACGGUCCAGACUCCUACGGGAGGCAGCAGUAGGGAAUCUUCCGCAAUGGGCGAAAGCCUGACGGAGCAACGCCGCGUGAGUGAUGAAGGUCUUCGGAUCGUAAAACUCUGUUAUUAGGGAAGAACAUACGUGUAAGUAACUAUGCACGUCUUGACGGUACCUAAUCAGAAAGCCACGGCUAACUACGUGCCAGCAGCCGCGGUAAUACGUAGGUGGCAAGCGUUAUCCGGAAUUAUUGGGCGUAAAGCGCGCGUAGGCGGUUAAUUAAGUCUGAUGUGAAAGCCCACGGCUCAACCGUGGAGGGUCAUUGGAAACUGGAAAACUUGAGUGCAGAAGAGGAAAGUGGAAUUCCAUGUGUAGCGGUGAAAUGCGCAGAGAUAUGGAGGAACACCAGUGGCGAAGGCGACUUUCUGGUCUGUAACUGACGCUGAUGUGCGAAAGCGUGGGGAUCAAACAGGAUUAGAUACCCUGGUAGUCCACGCCGUAAACGAUGAGUGCUAAGUGUUAGGGGGUUUCCGCCCCUUAGUGCUGCAGCUAACGCAUUAAGCACUCCGCCUGGGGAGUACGACCGCAAGGUUGAAACUCAAAGGAAUUGACGGGGACCCGCACAAGCGGUGGAGCAUGUGGUUUAAUUUGAAGCAACGCGAAGAACCUUACCAAAUCUUGACAUCCUUUGACAACUCUAGAGAUAGAGCCUUCCCUUCGGGGGACAAAGUGACAGGUGGUGCAUGGUUGUCGUCAGCUCGUGUCGUGAGAUGUUGGGUUAAGUCCCGCAACGAGCGCAACCCUUAAGCUUAGUUGCCAUCAUUAAGUUGGGCACUCUAAGUUGACUGCCGGUGACAAACCGGAGGAAGGUGGGGAUGACGUCAAAUCAUCAUGCCCCUUAUGAUUUGGGCUACACACGUGCUACAAUGGACAAUACAAAGGGCAGCGAAACCGCGAGGUCAAGCAAAUCCCAUAAAGUUGUUCUCAGUUCGGAUUGUAGUCUGCAACUCGACUACAUGAAGCUGGAAUCGCUAGUAAUCGUAGAUCAGCAUGCUACGGUGAAUACGUUCCCGGGUCUUGUACACACCGCCCGUCACACCACGAGAGUUUGUAACACCCGA